GGGGGUGAAUAGGUAUCGACUUAGAAACAAGGGAAUAGUGGCAUGCGGAGGAUGUCGGUUGGCCUCCUAAAUCAUCCGGCAAAAAAACAAAUGCAGAUACUUCAAGCAAAGUCAUUAGCGUUGAUUUCAGCGUUAAUGCAGCAGAAGCAAUUGCAGCUUAAUUGCGCCUAACCCGCGCUGCUUAAGCCGGUAGCCUAGGGCCCGACCAGGAGCGCUAGUCCUACUGUCAUCAACCCUGGUAUGAAUCCUCCCCUUGCUCUUUGAGGGAGAGGUUCGAGAACCAAAAAGGGCAAGCUGAUCUGUUUAUGUGGCAUCUUCCAGCGCAGCUCAGCUUUCAACCAGGAGAUGCUAAGCAUGUAGGCAUUGCUCCUUUCGUUUGCUAAGGACGAGAGUUCGAUUCUCUCCACCUCCAUUU
RNAcentral lists this transfer-messenger RNA (415 nucleotides) under Candidatus Rhabdochlamydiaceae. RNAcentral describes it as "2-02-FULL-49-12 sp001796315 Standard tmRNA". It matches the Rfam family "transfer-messenger RNA". Rfam says of the family: Bacterial tmRNA, also known as 10Sa RNA or SsrA, is named for its dual tRNA and mRNA-like properties. Its role is to liberate the mRNA from a stalled ribosome. The record is from RNAcentral. RNAcentral also lists the same sequence under 5 other names. Lineage: Bacteria; Pseudomonadati; Chlamydiota; Chlamydiia; Parachlamydiales.